GCUUGCUCCUCUGACGUUAGCGGCGGACGGGUGAGUAACACGUGGAUAACCUACCUAUAAGACUGGGAUAACUUCGGGAAACCGGAGCUAAUACCGGAUAAUAUAUUGAACCGCAUGGUUCAAUAGUGAAAGACGGUUUUGCUGUCACUUAUAGAUGGAUCCGCGCCGCAUUAGCUAGUUGGUAAGGUAACGGCUUACCAAGGCAACGAUGCGUAGCCGACCUGAGAGGGUGAUCGGCCACACUGGAACUGAGACACGGUCCAGACUCCUACGGGAGGCAGCAGUAGGGAAUCUUCCGCAAUGGGCGAAAGCCUGACGGAGCAACGCCGCGUGAGUGAUGAAGGUCUUCGGAUCGUAAAACUCUGUUAUUAGGGAAGAACAAAUGUGUAAGUAACUAUGCACGUCUUGACGGUACCUAAUCAGAAAGCCACGGCUAACUACGUGCCAGCAGCCGCGGUAAUACGUAGGUGGCAAGCGUUAUCCGGAAUUAUUGGGCGUAAAGCGCGCGUAGGCGGUUUUUUAAGUCUGAUGUGAAAGCCCACGGCUCAACCGUGGAGGGUCAUUGGAAACUGGAAAACUUGAGUGCAGAAGAGGAAAGUGGAAUUCCAUGUGUAGCGGUGAAAUGCGCAGAGAUAUGGAGGAACACCAGUGGCGAAGGCGACUUUCUGGUCUGUAACUGACGCUGAUGUGCGAAAGCGUGGGGAUCAAACAGGAUUAGAUACCCUGGUAGUCCACGCCGUAAACGAUGAGUGCUAAGUGUUAGGGGGUUUCCGCCCCUUAGUGCUGCAGCUAACGCAUUAAGCACUCCGCCUGGGGAGUACGACCGCA
Molecule: ribosomal RNA, 828 nt
Filed under: uncultured Staphylococcus sp.
Lineage: Bacteria; Bacillati; Bacillota; Bacilli; Caryophanales; Staphylococcaceae
Description: bacterial SSU rRNA
Rfam family: Bacterial small subunit ribosomal RNA
Source: RNAcentral